RNAcentral lists this unclassified non-coding RNA (401 nucleotides) under soil metagenome. RNAcentral describes it as "partial contains 5.8S ribosomal RNA, internal transcribed spacer 2, and large subunit ribosomal RNA". The stretch from base 1 to 121 matches the Rfam family "5.8S ribosomal RNA", at positions 35 to 154 of the family's 154-position model. The record is from RNAcentral.
GAUGAAGAACGCAGCGAAAUGCGAUAAGUAAUGUGAAUUGCAGAAUUCAGUGAAUCAUCGAAUCUUUGAACGCACCUUGCGCCCUUUGGCCAUUCCGAAGGGCAUGCCUGUUUGAGUAUCAUGAACACCUCAACUCUCAUGGCUUGCCAUGAUGAGCUUGGACUUUGGGGGUCUUGCUGGCCUGUGGUCGGCUCCUCUCAAAUGAAUCAGCUUGCCAGUGUUUGGUGGCAUCACAAGUGUGAUAACUAUCUGCGCUCGUGGUUUCCAUCAGAUAACCUCCAGUGAUGGAGGUUCGCUGGAGCUCAUAAAUGUCUCUCCUAAGCGAGGACAGCUCUAUUAAUGUUUGAUCUCAAAUCAGGUAGGACUACCCGCUGAACUUAAGCAUAUCAAUAAGCGGAGGA